CCGGCACGGGUGAGUAACACGUAUCCAACCUGCCGUCUACUCUUGGACAGCCUUCUGAAAGGAAGAUUAAUACAAGAUGGCAUCAUGAGUUCACAUGUUCACAUGAUUAAAGGUAUUCCGGUAGACGAUGGGGAUGCGUUCCAUUAGGUAGUAGGCGGGGUAACGGCCCACCUAGUCUUCGAUGGAUAGGGGUUCUGAGAGGAAGGUCCCCCACAUUGGAACUGAGACACGGUCCAA
RNAcentral lists this ribosomal RNA (237 nucleotides) under uncultured bacterium. RNAcentral describes it as "partial 16S ribosomal RNA". It matches the Rfam family "Bacterial small subunit ribosomal RNA", at positions 100 to 334 of the family's 1533-position model. The record is from RNAcentral.